GGUAAUACAGAGGGUGCAAGCGUUAAUCGGAAUUACUGGGCGUAAAGACGCGCGUAGGUGGUUUGUUUAAGUUGGAUGUGAAAUCCCCGGGCUCAACCUGGGAACUGCAUCCAAAACUGGCAAGCUAGAGUAGGGUAGAGGGUGGUGGAAUUUCCUGUGUAGCGGUGAAAUGCGUAGAUAUAGGAAGGAACACCAGUGGCGAAGGCGACCACCUGGGCUCAUACUGACGCUGAGACACGAAAGCGUGGGUAGCAAACAGA
Molecule: ribosomal RNA, 260 nt
Filed under: uncultured Pseudomonas sp.
Lineage: Bacteria; Pseudomonadati; Pseudomonadota; Gammaproteobacteria; Pseudomonadales; Pseudomonadaceae
Description: partial 16S ribosomal RNA
Rfam family: Bacterial small subunit ribosomal RNA
Source: RNAcentral